Manduca sexta (tobacco hornworm) is the source of this 849-nucleotide long non-coding RNA. RefSeq lists it as uncharacterized. The record is from RefSeq and is a predicted model, not a curated record. NCBI's taxonomy places the organism in Eukaryota, Metazoa, Arthropoda, Insecta, Lepidoptera, Sphingidae. The transcript is spliced from 3 exons.
CUGCCAGCCAAAGUGCGGUUUUGGCAAGUUGGCGCACCUGUAGCGUUCGAAAAUCAAAAUUUUACGACAAUAUUCCUUAUCAUUGUAAUAAAUACUUCAUCGAUUUUGACAAAUGUCACUUAUAGAGAUAAAACCAUAUUAUUGUGGAGGUAAUUUUAUUUUUUUUAUUUUUACGAAUUAUAAUGUCUUUUUAAAUUUCAAUUUAUCAGGUUUUUCCAGUUUUCAUUAUUGAUAUUCUAUCUUAAUUGAUUUUUAAUUAUUACCUAUAUUUGAACCCACGUGAAACAUAAACCUGCAUUUCAAUUUCCUGCAUCGGAAAAUUACGACUGGAAUUGACUCGUGGACUCCUUGAUUCAGUGGCGUUUAUGUUGUAGUCUGUGAGGUCAAAAGUUCAAUUAACAAGGGGACACUGUUUGGUUUUUCCUAAGACGAUUUAUUCGGAACUGUAUCAUCCAGAGGCGGUUAACUUUACAUAGACAGCGCGUAGUAAAAACUCAGCCAAGUUUCUGCAAGAUGCUUGUAUGGCGCGCCGACACAGGUCGAAAAUAUCAAUUUACAGUGGGAUAAGCGAGAUGCCAACAGUGAGGGUGUUUCGAGGUCGCAAGCUGAGCAAACACAACUUUAACUCUUAAAACAAAUUAGCAUUUUAGUUGGGAGUCGCAAGAACAUGCCAAUUUAGAUUAUUGCGGAAAUGUGCCAAGUUUCUUUAUGGUUUUUAGUAAAAAACAUAACCAAACUAUAUUGGAAUGUUAGCGCAACUAGUGUAUACACACAUUAUCAUGCUAAUAUGCUUCCUACAAUAUGAUGAGGUACAUCUCCACAUCAUGAAGAAAUCCUCGAAUACAAAAA